RNAcentral lists this ribosomal RNA (447 nucleotides) under uncultured bacterium. Its description in RNAcentral is "bacterial SSU rRNA". It matches the Rfam family "Bacterial small subunit ribosomal RNA", at positions 329 to 792 of the family's 1533-position model. The record is from RNAcentral.
UGCCAGACUCCUACGGGAGGCAGCAGUGGGGAAUAUUGCACAAUGGGGGAAACCCUGAUGCAGCGACGCCGCGUGAGUGAAGAAGUAUUUCGGUAUGUAAAGCUCUAUCAGCAGGGAAGAAGAAGGACGGUACCUGAGUAAGAAGCCCCGACUAACUACGUGCCAGCAGCCGCGGUAAUACGUAGGGGGCAAGCGUUAUCCGGAUUUACUGGGUGUAAAGGGAGCGUAGACGGCGAAGAAAGUCUGAAGUGAAAGCCCGCGGCUCAACCGCGGAAUGGCUUUGGAAACUUUUUUGCUGGAGUACCGGAGAGGUAAGCGGAAUUCCUAGUGUAGCGGUGAAAUGCGUAGAUAUUAGGAGGAACACCAGUGGCGAAGGCGACUUUCUGGACUGUACCUGACGCUGAGGCGCGAAAGCGUGGGUAGCGAACGGGAUUAGAUACCCCAGUA